AACGCGCGCUGAGGUAAAAGGGGGGGGGAACCCCACAAUUCACACCCCCCCCCAUCUCUCUCCACCCUGGUGGGCGUGGUUUGUAUCGCGAUGGGCGUGGUUUGUAUCGCGGUUGGGCUUGGUUUUGGUGGGUGGGGCGUCGUCUCGGCGCGGUGCUUUGCUAUGGGGGGGGGCGUGGUUUCGUUUCUUAUGGGUGUGGCUUUGUCUCUUCGGGGCGUGGUUUGGGCUUAUGUGGGGGCGGGGCGGGGUUGGUCAGCGCGCGCGUCUCGGCCCCCAACCUCUCCGUUCUUGUCGCUUGUGAGCAAAAAAUUUUUUUAAAAAAAGUUAAACAUUUUUACGAUUAAUUUCGUUAUCUUGUCGAGUUAAAAGUGCGCGCAGGCUGCUUGUCGAUGAGCGAUUUUAACCCUUUUUCGUUGUGUUUUUUUACCUACGCGCUCGUACGUUUUCUUUGGUAGUGUCAUCGUAACUGCAAGGACGUGCUAUUUUUUAUGUUUUAACUUGGUCUGACUUAAGACAAAUUUUAGUGCGAAGGACGUCGCUUUUUUUGGGUCAGUUGUGGAUAUUUAUAUCGUCUCUUUUAAGUUUUUCUCAGUUGUGUUUGACGCACAUUUGUUCUGUAAUCUAGUAAAAGUUAAGUCUUCAAUAUAAUGACUUUGCUGGCACUAGAUCCCCGAGGUUUUGAGAAAGAUUUGUGUAGUUUGAAGAGGUUUAAAGUAUAUUUUUUUCCCGUCUUUACUUAACAAAUGUAUUUUCAUUAAACGCAUAAAGUGCGCACAGUCGUAUUUUUGAAGUGUAAAGAAAUUUAAAUAUAGCAACGUUCAGGGGCAUUGCGGUUAAUGUAAAUCAAUCAUUCCCCCCCUCAUGAGGUAAACCAGUAAACUUUUUUUACUUUUAAAAAAUAUAUAUUUUGUAAGUAUAUAACGUGCAUGCUAUUUAUUUUUAAAGUGUAAAGAAAUUUAUUUGUAGCAACAUUCGGGGGCAUUGCGGUUAAUGUAAAUCAGUAAGUCCCCCCUCAUGAGGUAAACCAGCAAACUUUUUAGACUUUUUUUUAAAUAUCGUACAUAUUUAACGUGCAUGCUAUUUGUAAAUCUACUAUCCGUCUUACUCAAACUGUUAACAGUGUAACGUAACAGUAUUUUAAACGUGUAAUUUGAAUACAUUUUAUUUUGCCGACUUGGGCUGUGUGGGGUGGGAUUCCUUUAGAGUCGUUAAUGUUUAAAUGUAAAUUAGAAUGCGUUUCAAAAUAUAAAGUAUUAACAUUUUUGUACUUUAAAAAAAUCAAGUAACCAUUUUGUUUAACCUAACGAUGACGUUAAACAUUAACCGUUCACUUUCGUAACGUUAAAAUUGGUGUCUGUGGAUGAUAUAUAGUGUCUAACUUUUGAGAAUAAAAGUCAAUUUAUGUAUAAACUGCAUAACUAUUCUCUUGGAAGCGUCUCCAAAUCGCGUUGUGUAAUCUUAAAUGAAGUGUAAAUACAUAUUAAGUAAAGUACUGUAUAGUAACAUGUCGGCUAUUUGACAUGGUAAUACAUAACUAGUAUGGCGACACUUUAUCAAUGUAAUGCUAAUGUUUGUGAUAAUACUUAAUUAUAAGUGUAACAGACUUAAGUCUUAUACUGUACACUCGUUAAUAUUUUAUAUGUUGACAUGUAUACUGCAUUUAACCGUGUGUGUAUGUACUGCAUCGAUAGUAAGGCGUGCAUUAGAGAAUACAGGGUAGAUGCAUCACAUUGAUCUUCAUCCAGCAGUGGAUAGUCCAUGAUGCUAAUGAAACAUGAGAGAUGCAUACAGGAACACACUUGGGUGUAUAGGGUACAGGAACAUACUUGGGUGUAUAGAGUACAGGAACAUACUUGGGUGUAUAGGGUACAGGAACAUACUUGCGCGUAUAGGGUACACCAACAUACUUGUGUGUAUAGGAUACAGGAACACACUUGGGUGUAUCGGGUAGGGGAACAUACUUGGGUGUAUAGGAUACAGGAACAUACUUGGGUGUAUAGGGUACAGGAACACACUUGGGUGUAUCGGGUACAGGAACAUACUUGGGUGUAUAGGAUACAGGGACAUACUUGGGUAUAUAGGAUACAGGAACAUACUUGGGUAUAUAGGAUACAGGAACAUACUUGGGUGUAUAGGGUACAGGAACACACUUGGGUGUAUAGGAUACAGGGACACACUUGGGUGUAUAGGGUACAGGGACAUACUUGGGUGUAUAGGAUACAGGGACAUACUUGGGUAUAUAGGAUACAGGAACAUACUUGGGUGUAUCGGGUACAGGAACAUACUUGGGUGUAUAGGAUACUGGAACAUACUUGGGUGUAUAGGGUACAGGGAGAUAAUUGGGUGUAUUGGGUACAGGGAGAUAAUUGGGUGUAUAGGAUACAGGAACAUACUUGGGUGUAUAUGAUCAGAUGGCAUAAGCAAGUUAAUGACAAUCAUCGACAUUUAAAAAAAAAUCUAAUUCAGUGGGCAUGGUUGGAAUCAGAAUCUUUAUUUAAUACUGCUGGAGGAAUCCGAUGAGCUAUAAAGCUCUUUGUCACAUGUCCCAGUCAGGGGCCACGGUGGUCAGAAAGUUACAAAAACAAACACAA
Molecule: non-coding RNA, 2591 nt
Organism: Petromyzon marinus (sea lamprey)
Lineage: Eukaryota; Metazoa; Chordata; Hyperoartia; Petromyzontiformes; Petromyzontidae
Source: RefSeq, a predicted model, not a curated record